GCACUUGAUGAUGAAGACGUGAUCUCUUAUGUCCUAGCUGGACUAGAUGAGGAAUUUGAACCAGUCGUGUCGUCCAUCGUCGGACGACCGGAUCCAAUCUCUUUCGCCGAGAUGUACUCACAGCUCCUUAGCUUUGAGU
This 139-nucleotide small nucleolar RNA is filed under the name Leersia perrieri. RNAcentral describes it as "snoRNA snoZ247". It matches the Rfam family "Small nucleolar RNA Z247". Rfam says of the family: Z247 is a member of the C/D class of snoRNA which contain the C (UGAUGA) and D (CUGA) box motifs. Most of the members of the box C/D family function in directing site-specific 2'-O-methylation of substrate RNAs. The record is from Rfam by way of RNAcentral. Lineage: Eukaryota; Viridiplantae; Streptophyta; Magnoliopsida; Poales; Poaceae.